Molecule: long non-coding RNA, 674 nt
Organism: Quercus robur (English oak)
Lineage: Eukaryota; Viridiplantae; Streptophyta; Magnoliopsida; Fagales; Fagaceae
Exons: 5
Source: RefSeq, a predicted model, not a curated record
AUGGCAGGUAUUGGUUCCUUUGAUGAGGGUCUCUGUUACUUUCAUGGAGGACUGGCAACUCAAAACUUGUUAGAUAAUGCAGAUCAGCUGCCCUGCUUUCUUUGUUGCAGCUGUUUUUUUGGUGAAUAUACAGUCAGAAGAUUGUAAAUAAAAUGGGAAUCCUUUCACGCAGUGCAGUUAGCAGAAAGCCAAAGGAGACGAUGAGGCUUAUCGUAACUACUUUUGUUGGUGUAGUUUUGGGUUUCUUCAUAGGAGUAUCAUUUCCUACAUUGUCAUUAACUAAGCUGAAUCUCCCGCCCGGCAUUCUUCCUUCCAUGGAUCUCUAACAUGUGAGGGAAUCAGGCGAUGAAAAGACUUGGCUACCUGUGAAUAGUAUUAGUAGCCGCUCAACUGAAGCUCAAAAUGUAACCAAUACAUCAAAGAUUUGGGUUCCAUCUAAUCCUAGAGGUGCCGAAAGACUACCUCCUCAAAUUGUUGCAGCUGAGUCAGAUUUCUACCCGCGAAGAUUGUGGGGUAACCCUAGUGAGGACUUAAAAAGCAAACCACAGUACCUUGUAACCUUCACCGUUGGUUAUGAUCAGAGAAUGAAUAUUGACACGGCAGUGAAAAAGGUCUCUCUCUCUCGCAUUUCUUUUUCUGUGUAAUUAUGUGUGUGACUGAAUAUGUUAUUCUGG